GGCCCCAUCGACCAGGAAGGACUUAAAUGGAGCCCGCGGAGCCAGACCAACGCGCCAGCAGACCAGGGACAUCGGCAGGCCCGGUCUGUCUACAGCACAAACGCAGGGUCUGUAGGAGCGUGUCGUGGUGACAGCGUCAAGUGGACAGAACGAACGAGUCCUGAGACGAAACUAUUUAAAAGCACUGGCCUGCGGCCGACGCGGGAGAAAAGAGAGGUGGACGGCCUACGGCUUUCCCAAAGCAAGAGCGUGUCAAGAAUCGCACCGCCCCGGGGGCGGGGGCGCGGCGCCCGACCCUCCUCGGCCACCCUGAGCCGCCGCCGCUCCCGCUUCCCGCCGCCGCCGGCCCCUGCGCCGCCGCCGCUGCCGCCGCCACCAUGGCUCCCUCCUGCUCGGCCGCCGAGCCGCCUACCGCCGCCGUUGCCGUCGCCGUCGCCGCCGCCCCGUCCCCUCCGAACUGCUCCUCCGACAUAGUGCUCCUGCCGCCGCCGAAGACGACACCCGCCGCCGCCGCCGCCGCGAACCGAAACUAGCAGCAAAGUGAUCCCCGCCGCCGGCGCGCGAUGCCCGCUCUACCUCGCGAGGCACCCGAGACAAGGCGCGCGCGUGGCUGCAAGGGCUCCUGCGCCUCUCCCCGGCCUGCCCCCCUCGCCUCCCACUCUCGCGCGCCGCGCUCCCUCGCUCUCCCCGGCUGCACUGGAAAAAA
RNAcentral lists this long non-coding RNA (706 nucleotides) under Mus pahari (shrew mouse). RNAcentral describes it as "lncRNA (MGP_PahariEiJ_G0002493.1)". The record is from RNAcentral. Lineage: Eukaryota; Metazoa; Chordata; Mammalia; Rodentia; Muridae.